CCCAUUAAAAAGUCUAACCUUUUCCCAGCUCCUCACAUAUAAUACUUGGCAGGCAGCUUUUGAGUUAACAACCAACUCAAGGUAAAUCCAUCAGGACAUUUCUUUUUUUCUUCUUGCUUCUCUCGUUUCUGCUUAGAAUAUGGACUGGACCAGAGGCCACACCUUAGGCCAUGGCUCCACCGCCACCGUCUCCCUCGCCAAGUCUAUCCACUCCGGUGACGUUUCAAAUCCGCCGAACUCGACCAAUCUCAAUUCUUGCAAAGGGAGCAAAAUAUUCUCUCUUCUCUAACCUCUCCACAUAUAGUUAGUUACAAGGGCUAUGACAUUACUAGAGAGAAUAACCAGGUUAUGUACAAUCUUUUCUUGGAGUACAUUUCUGGCGGUACACUUACCGAUGCAGUUCAGGCUCACGGUGGCCGGUUAGAAGAAUCGGUGAUCAGAUACUACACUUAUGAAAUUGUUCAAGGUCUAGAUUACCUACAUUCAAAUGGCUGGGUUCAUUGUGACAUCAAAGGUAGGAA
This 521-nucleotide unclassified non-coding RNA is filed under the name Hevea brasiliensis (rubber tree). The record is from RNAcentral. Lineage: Eukaryota; Viridiplantae; Streptophyta; Magnoliopsida; Malpighiales; Euphorbiaceae.